Molecule: ribosomal RNA, 407 nt
Filed under: uncultured bacterium
Lineage: Bacteria
Description: partial 16S ribosomal RNA
Rfam family: Bacterial small subunit ribosomal RNA
Source: RNAcentral
GACGAACGCUGGCGGCGUGCCUAAUACAUGCAAGUAGAACGCAGUUGCGCACGGGUGAGUAACGUGUAGGUAACUGCCUGGUAGCGGGGGAUAACUAUUGGAAACGAUAGCUAAUACCGCAUACUUCCAGAUGGACCUGCGUUGUAUUAGCUAGUUGGUGGGGUAACGGCUCACCAAGGCAACGAUACAUAUCCGACCCGAGAGGGGGUACGGGCACACAGGGUCUGAGACCCGGCCCAGACUCCUGCGGGGGGCAGCAGUAGGGAAUCUUCGGCAAUGGACGGAAGUCGGACCGAGCAACACCGCGUGAGUGAAGAAGGUUUUCGGAUCGUAAAGCUAUGUUGUAAGAGAAGCGGUAUCUUACCAGAAAGGGACGGCUAACUACGUGCCAGCAGCCGCGGUAAUUC